CCUAAUUCUGCCUUGUCUACGAGACCUAGAAAAUUGGAGAGGUUCCUGGCCCAGAAGAAAUAUAGGCCAACGCUGAGGGCCUCUGCCAAAAGCCAGAGGAGGCCGGCAUAGCAGGGCAGGUCAAGUGGGUCCUUUCCUCGGCAGGACUCCUGGGUCCUCUUCAACUUCUACCAUUUCAUCUCCAUACUCACCUCCGAGUCCCUUUCGAGGCUGAAGUUUGUUUCCAGGCUGAAGUUUGUUUCCAGGGUGACUGGAAUGUUUUCUGAUCUCCUGGCACACGCUUCCUCUAAUCUUUCGUGGAGUUUCAAUCCUUCCCUGCCUGUAGACGCAGUAAAUCUAUAAUCCAAAUCUUCUUCCCGCACCCUUACACACACAUACACCCUGCCACUGCCCAGAUAGAACCCAGAAAAUUUCUAAGCCCUCAACCAGAAAGUCAAUCUUUCCUUUUCUGAAUGAAGUUGAGGCUGGGGCUGCAGUCUCCUCUCCAUCGUCAUCCCUUAUUUCGUCACCCUGAAAGCCCAACUAAGAUUUUCAAUCUAGAAACAACUUUUUCCCCUCCAACCAUCCACUUUUCCCCUUUUGUGCGGUUUCUCACUCACCCCACCCCGCAUCCAGCGCAGAGCCAGGGCGAGAAAGGUCAAGACCACCAGCCAGGAACUUCAAGUUCAAUGGCAAAAGCCCCUCCCCCCCCAUUCCCGGCUGGGCCUCAUCUCCCUUCCCCCAUCUCUUAAGUCCGAAACUGACAUCUUUUAGUGGAAAACCUUCAAAAUUCCAGGAGGGGCCCCUUGCCCCAUCACUUCCGGGGCAAUUUAGAGAGAGAGCUAAUUGAAACAUUUUCUUAUCUUUCUUUCUCCCUCCCCUAGUUGACCCGGCCCCCCACGGCAGUCCUCACCUCCGCCGUAUUUCCACCUCGAGCCUGGAAGCUUGGGAAAGGAAGAUUGGAUGUUUUAAAUCGCUCUCUGCCUCUAGCCAAGCCACUAGGGGGAUGGGGUGGCGGAGUGGUGAGGAGGUCAGAGGUUGUCUGUCUGAGUACUGGACAUACUGGACCCGUUCCUAUUCUGAACCGGAAAGGAACUGAAUCAGCGCAGAGAAAACAGCACUGCGUGAAUUUUCGUUACUAUUUGAAGAUAUUCUUUGUCUACACAUUUAUCGCUAAGGUCACGUGCAGCUGUUGCCUCUUGGUGCGGGAGAAUCAUUUCUCUCAGCUCCGCGGAAUAACGGUGGCAAUCUUUCGGUUCGAAUUUCUGCAGUAAAAACACUUUCGAAGAUCUAGGGAAAUUCGCUUUCGUUCCCCCUUGUACACAAAGGUCACCACCUUUUGGAGAUCCUUUCCCGAACCCCAGAACCCUAAAGCCGAAAGCAAGCUGGAAGUCAAGGUGGCAGAAGAUUCAUCGACUGCCGUAGCGCAUUAUAGCCGAAUCUGACUUCAGGACUAGGAUUCCCUGGGUUCGGAUGGCUGAACACUAAACAAAUUCCCAGGCUUAGAUCCCCGCUACCCCCAAGUUAUGCUAACGGACUUGCCUCCUCUGAGCUUCGAAAAAGAGGGACCAAAACUCAAAAGACGGCGUCAUGGAAUAGAGUCUAUUUCAUCGGGUAAUAUUAAACGGGGUGUUCUACCGUAUUUCCAUUAAGAUCUAUCACACUCUGCUAUAAUGUACUGUUCUAUAGAGCUUGCAUUAUACUAUAGUUUCAUCGAGGGCUUCUACUGUAAGUAUAUAUCGCAUAUGCUAUAUAACAAUGACACCUUAAACAAAAGCGAGCCACAGAGGAGGGAGUGCCCUCCGUGGGAUCUUUGCUCUCCAAACAUCGGAUCUUACUUAGCCCUUGUCACUGAAAUGUCAGCUAGAUCUGGGGGUGGGGUGUAAAUGUGGAAGUCAAACGGAGGAAUCCCUAAGCUCCAGGAGAGAGAAGGACAAAGAAAGAUGAAUUCAAAAGUGAACUGAAGUCAGAUUUGGGUUCCUUUAGCCAUACUUCAGCCUCACUUUUUUUUUCCAAUUAAAAAAUUGGAAAUUUUGCCUCUGGAUACUUUAUAAAGAGAAGGACCUCCACUCACCUUAAAUCUCAGCCCAGAGGCCUCAGAGCCAUCAACCAUCGAAGGGGGAGGGCACUCAAUGGGCUGAUUUAUUAAUUUAUCUUCCCCCGCUUCCCCCCCCCCUUAGAGCACAUAGAAGCCCUAAAUUGGGGAGGAGGGUGGCUGCCCUCUCACCAAAACCCUCUGGAUUAGCAGCUUCUUUGUGCCUGGAAGAAAGGGAGUCUACACCAUGCUACACGCAUCCAGUUCAUUCAGGUCCCAUAUAGUCCCUAAUCCUCAACUUUCUGUCCAGACAACUGAGCAAAAGUGGGGUAUUAAGGUUUUGCUUUGAAGGCAGACAUGGCAGACAGGGGAAAUUGGACUGUCCAGAUUCUUUCUCUAGCUCCAUUUCGUUAUCGCCAGCCUACCAAAGCCCUGGAAGGAGAAGUGGGAGAACAGAGAGCUAACUAGCUUUGCCUCACACCAGUUUUCCAGGAAACCGAAGGAAGAAUUUGGAUAACUCAAGUCUGAGAACUCUUAAGGGUGCCUUUCUAUAUAAUCUGAAGGUGGAAAGGAUGUGCUAUUGAAGAUAACCCCCUUUUUCAUUGACUUCCGUUGCUGGAAGGCUAGCCUUCGCCUUGGAAAAAUAGGAACUGUCAUUGCAAUGUGGACACCCUGUCCCCAGUUCCUCUGCUUUCUCACUGUAGACAAGGCCUGAAGAGAGAUCCCAAUUUUCCAUCUGGACCUGAGUCUGAAGAGGAAGGCACCAUUGGGAUGGGUGUCUUCGGGAAUUUAUUAAUUUAUUAAUCAGGCUCGAUCCAUCAAAAGUGGUUUGUAAGGCACUCUAAGGAACUGCUAAACAGAGAAUAUGAGAAUGAUUAUAACCUUAACUAAUAUAAUCUCUGUCAUUGUUAUUCUUACUUUUC
Long non-coding RNA from Phascolarctos cinereus (koala), 2937 nucleotides. RefSeq lists it as uncharacterized. NCBI's taxonomy places the organism in Eukaryota, Metazoa, Chordata, Mammalia, Diprotodontia, Phascolarctidae. The record is from RefSeq and is a predicted model, not a curated record.